RNAcentral lists this ribosomal RNA (440 nucleotides) under uncultured bacterium. RNAcentral describes it as "partial 16S ribosomal RNA". It matches the Rfam family "Bacterial small subunit ribosomal RNA", at positions 338 to 795 of the family's 1533-position model. The record is from RNAcentral.
CCUACGGGAGGCAGCAGUGGGGGAUAUUGCACAAUGGGGGGAACCCUGAUGCAGCGACGCCGCGUGGGUGAAGAAGCGCCUCGGCGCGUAAAGCCCUGUCAGCAGGGAAGAAAAUGACGGAACCUGAAGAAGAAGCCCCGGCUAACUACGUGCCAGCAGCCGCGGUAAUACGGAGGGGGCAAGCGUUAUCCGGUUUUACUGGGUGUAAGGGGGGCGCAGACGGCGAUGCAAGCCAGGAGUGAAAGCCCGGGGCCCAACCCCGGGACUGCUCUUGGAACUGCGUGGCUGGAGUGCAGGAGGGGCGGGCGGAAGUCCUGGUGGAGCGGUGAAAUGCGUAGAUAUCAGGAGGAACACCGGUGGCGAAGGCGGCCUGCUGGACUGCAACUGACGUUGAGGCCCGAAAGCGUGGGGAGCAAACAGGAUUAGAUACCCCAGUAGUC